CCUACGGGUGGCUGCAGUGGGGAAUAUUGCGCAAUGGGCGAAAGCCUGACGCAGCGACGCCGCGUGAGGGAUGAAGGUCUUCGGAUCGUAAACCUCUGUCAGCAGGGAAGAACGGUCACUGUGCUAAUCAGCAGUGAAUUGACGGUACCUGCAAAGGAAGCACCGGCUAACUCCGUGCCCGCAGCUGCGGUAAUACGGAGGGUGCGAGUGUUAAUCGGAAUUACUGGGCGUAAAGGGUCCGUAGGCGGUAUGUCAAGUCAAGGGUGAAAUCCCCGCGCUCAACGUGGGAACUGCCUUUGAAACUGGCAAACUGGAGUAUGCGAAGGGAUAGUGGAAUUCGAGGUGUAGGAGUGAAAUGCGUAGAUAUCUGGAGGAACAUCAGUGGCGAAGGCGACUAUCUGGCACAUAACUGACGCUGAGGAGCGAAAGCGUGGGUAGCAAACAGGAUUAGAUACCCUGGUAGUC
This 465-nucleotide ribosomal RNA is filed under the name uncultured bacterium. RNAcentral describes it as "partial 16S ribosomal RNA". It matches the Rfam family "Bacterial small subunit ribosomal RNA", at positions 338 to 795 of the family's 1533-position model. The record is from RNAcentral.